GUGCUAUGGCGGCGUGCCUAAUACAUGCAGUCGAGCGGAUCUUCAUUAGCUUGCUUUUGAAGAUCAGCGGCGGACGGGUGAGUAACACGUGGGCAACCUGCCUGUAAGACUGGGAUAACUUCGGGAAACCGGAGCUAAUACCGGAUAAUCCUUUCCCUCACAUGAGGGAAAGCUGAAAGACGGUUUCGGCUGUCACUUACAGAUGGGCCCGCGGCGCAUUAGCUAGUUGGUGAGGUAACGGCUCACCAAGGCAACGAUGCGUAGCCGACCUGAGAGGGUGAUCGGCCACACUGGGACUGAGACACGGCCCAGACUCCUACGGGAGGCAGCAGUAGGGAAUCUUCCGCAAUGGACGAAAGUCUGACGGAGCAACGCCGCGUGAGCGAUGAAGGCCUUCGGGUCGUAAAGCUCUGUUGUCAGGGAAGAACAAGUACCGGAGUUAACUGCCGGUACCUUGACGGGUACCUGACCAGAAGCCCACGGCUUACUACGUGCCCGCCAGCCGCGGUAAUACGUAGGUGGCAAGCGUUGUCCGGAAUUAUUGGGCGUAAAGCGCGCGCAGGCGGUUCCUUAAUUCUUAUGUGAAAGCCCCCGGCUCAACCGGGGAGGGUCAUUGGAAACUGGGGAACUUGAGUGCAGAAGAGGAGAGCGGAACUUCCACGUGUAGCGGUGAAAUGCGUAGAGAUGUGGAGGAACACGAGUGGCGAACGCGGCUCCUCUGGUCUGUAACUGACGCUGAGGCGCGAAAGCGUGCGGAGCGAACAGGAUUAGAUACCCUGGUAGUCCACGUCGUAAACGAUGAGUGCUAAGUGUUAGAGGGUUUCCGCCCUUUAUUGCUACAGCAAUCGCAUAUUCACUACGACUGUCGAGUACUGCCGCAGGCUGUAUACUCAAAAGAAUUGACGAGGCGCCGCCCAAGCGGUGCAACAAUGAGUUUCAGAUCAAAGCUAGCGCAGAACUUAACUGGCUUGCGAUGCUCUGAUAUACCUUAGAUAUCGGUUUCGCAUCUCGGGAG
RNAcentral lists this ribosomal RNA (1015 nucleotides) under Mesobacillus subterraneus. RNAcentral describes it as "bacterial SSU rRNA". It matches the Rfam family "Bacterial small subunit ribosomal RNA", at positions 33 to 1025 of the family's 1533-position model. The record is from RNAcentral. Lineage: Bacteria; Bacillati; Bacillota; Bacilli; Caryophanales; Bacillaceae.